CCUACGGGAGGCUGCAGUCGAGAAUCAUUCACAAUGGGGGAAACCCUGAUGGUGCGACGCCACGUGGGGGAAUGAAGGUCUUCGGAUUGUAAACCCCUGUCAUGUGGGAGCAAAUUAAAAAGAUAGUACCACAAUAGGAAGAGACGGCUAACUCUGUGCCAGCAGCCGCGGUAAUACAGAGGUCUCAAGCGUUGUUCGGAAUCACUGGGCGUAAAGCUUGCGUAGGCGGUUUCUUAAGUCGUGUGUGAAAGGCGCGGGCUCAACCCGCGGACGGCACAUGAUACUGCGAGACUAGAGUAAUGGAGGGGGAACCGGAAUUCGCGGUGUAGCAGGGAAAGGCGUAGAAUCGAGAGGAACACUCGUGGCGAAGGCGGGUUCCUGGACAUUAACUGACGCUGAGGCACGAAGGCCAGGGGAGCGAAAGGGAUUAGAUACCCGGGUAGUC
This 445-nucleotide ribosomal RNA is filed under the name uncultured bacterium. RNAcentral's name for it is "partial 16S ribosomal RNA". It matches the Rfam family "Bacterial small subunit ribosomal RNA", at positions 338 to 795 of the family's 1533-position model. The record is from RNAcentral.